Molecule: non-coding RNA, 185 nt
Organism: Virgibacillus pantothenticus
Lineage: Bacteria; Bacillati; Bacillota; Bacilli; Caryophanales; Bacillaceae
Rfam family: 6S / SsrS RNA
About the family: E. coli 6S RNA was the first non coding RNA to be sequenced, but its function was unknown until recently. It consists of 184 nucleotides that fold into an extended hairpin structure with a large single-stranded internal bulge.
Source: Rfam
AGAAUCCUGAUGUGUUCGUCCGUACCAAAGUGUUUUGACCGAACACCUUUAUAAUUGGGAGCUCGUUUGUUUCUAUGUUGCGUGCGGGCCUUAACCAUGAGGAAGCACAAUAAAUAUAGAACAGAGCACCCACCUGCCAUGAGCGGGAUCAAAGCUUUAUACUGGACGGCACGAUCGGGACUGCU